Molecule: non-coding RNA, 522 nt
Organism: Labrus bergylta (ballan wrasse)
Lineage: Eukaryota; Metazoa; Chordata; Actinopteri; Labriformes; Labridae
Source: RefSeq, a predicted model, not a curated record
ACCUCUUCUAUCAGAUCUUCACUUCAUUGGAAGAUCAGGGAACACUCAAUCCAGACAACCAAGUCCAUCUUUAUGCCCUGCACCGGAUCUUCCUUCCCCAAAUUCAGAGAACCCUCAGCUCCUUCAGAGAUGCUUGGAACUUUCAUGGACUUAGAACUGAAAGGAAUCAAUCACCUAAUGAACUCUGGAGAAGAUACAGAGAGCAAGGCCCCAUGGAGGAUCCUGCAGAGGUUUAUGAAGACUAUGGGAUCGACUGGAAUGGGCCUCACAAUCAGCAUGGAGACACUGUGUCAGUUCCUGAGAUUCAGAUGGCCCGUGAGCUCUCAGAUGAAGAGGUUGCCAUUUUGCCAGUUUCAGGAGUUUCUUUAAAUGAUGCAAUUGGAUCAUAUUUGGAGACAGUGCAAGUUUUGUCAAGAAUCAUUGGAGACUGAUAUCUUAAGCAGGCCUUUUAUUUUAUUUAUUGUGCAAAUGUCACUCAUGAAUUAGUUAACUUGAUUUGUCAAUAAAAAUCUGAAAUCAUAA